RNAcentral lists this transfer RNA (85 nucleotides) under Felis catus (domestic cat). It matches the Rfam family "tRNA". From Rfam's summary of the family: Transfer RNA (tRNA) molecules are approximately 80 nucleotides in length. Lineage: Eukaryota; Metazoa; Chordata; Mammalia; Carnivora; Felidae. The record is from Rfam by way of RNAcentral.
GCUUGGGUGGCUCAGUCGGUUGAGCGUCUGACUUCGGCUCAGGCCAUGAUCUCAUGGUUCGUGGGUUCAAGCCCCGUGUCAGGCU